This 1068-nucleotide long non-coding RNA is filed under the name Piliocolobus tephrosceles (Ugandan red Colobus). RNAcentral's name for it is "lncRNA (ENSPTEG00000007423.1)". The record is from RNAcentral. Lineage: Eukaryota; Metazoa; Chordata; Mammalia; Primates; Cercopithecidae.
UACAAUACUAUAUUUGAUGUAAACAUAACUGAUGAUAUCUUUUUAGGGAAGUUAGCAUAUCGUUAAAUAAACUGCAAGGUCUAUAUAAUAAUUGGAUUAGUAUAUCUGAUAAACAUUCCAUGUAAAACAUUUUCAUUUGUUUAAAAUCGAUGUAUUUAUUUUUUAAAUAUAUUACAGUGAUAUAUAUAUAUAUAUAUUUUCUUUAUUAAUGAUGCAGAUUUUAUAUAAUAUAUCUUAGUUUUUACCACAUAUAUAAAUAUAUAUAUACAUACUUAAUAACACACCAAAACGUAUACAUGUUAUUGUUAUUACAGCUUGGCAAAAGAAAAAUGUUUUUUAAUAAAGGAGGAAAUAAAAUACUUGAAUAAAGAUCUAAAUGAUUUAGAAAAUUCAGUUAAUGUUGUUAAAAAUAAUAAAAGUAAAUUUAAUAUUAGUUCUGAAGAGAUAGAAAACAGAACAAAUGAUUUAAAAAAUAUUCGUAACACUUUAAAUAAUAUAGAUAGAAACUUAAAACGCAAUACUACCACAGUUUUAAAUUGUGAUACCAGUACGAUUAGCAGUUAUGGCAAAGUUACACUAAAAGAACAAGACAACGAUUUGGAGGAAUUAGCAGAAUCGGCAGAGAGGUUACAUAACGCCGCCAUUACAAUAAAUGCAGAAUUAAAAGACCAACAAAGGUUACUCGAAGAACUAGAAACUGAAAUGGAUUAUUCAAAUGAAAAAAUGAAUUUUGUAACAGAAAGGAUUUCAGAUUUUUUAAAAACAAAAAAUUCGUAUCUUCUAUAUAUUGGUAUUUUUCAUUUUCCCGCUCGUUUAUAACUGAGCUUAUGUUUAAUGUAGGAGAGUUAUCCAUUAAACUAUAUUUAUUAUGGCAUACAGAAUUUGCAGCGUUUAUUUUUGUGGCUACGUUUGUAACUGACUUGUUAUUACGUUUGCAACUAUUUUUGUGACGACGUUUACAACUUUUUUGUGACGACGUUUACAACUUUUUUGUGACGACGUUUGCAAUUAUUUUGUGAAUAUGUUUGUAACUAUUUUUGUGACUAUGUUUGUAACUAUUUUUGUGAN